GGCUACGUAAGCUGUAACAGCGCUGUCGCUUGCUAAUAUUCAGAAUAAUUAUUCAGAUCGGCUGAAUGUAGCUUAGGUAUUGUCGAUGUUAAUGAUAUGCAAUUCAUUGACAAAUAAUAAAAAGAGUGAGGUGAUUUAAUAAGCGCUAGAACCGUCUGGCUAUUGUAGGCUACAUCGCCAAGUUUCCACGGCUCCCGCGUGCGCGUGCUAUCCCUAAACUCCAGUGGAAGGGAGGAUAAGCGGUUCUUCCUGCUAGACACCAGGUUCUUCCACUCCUUUUCUGUCACUAGAGUGGGGAUGUCUCUUGUCUGACUGCUAUCUACUGAUCUAAUAGGUGUGUAUUCAUAACACCCUGUGUGUGUGUGUGUGUUCACAUUCUUGUGUAUGCGUGUGCACGUUUGUGUUUGACACUUGAUGUACUUCAUGGUUACUCAUUGUUACGGUGUCGCAACCUGAGGCUUACAUAUCAGUCCAC
Molecule: long non-coding RNA, 475 nt
Organism: Esox lucius (northern pike)
Lineage: Eukaryota; Metazoa; Chordata; Actinopteri; Esociformes; Esocidae
Source: Ensembl